GACCUCGUAGCAUAAUCGUAAAUGCGUCUGGACUCUAUAUCUAUUGCGCAGUUGAGGAAGGAAACUCGAUUUACCAGAAUGUCCCUGUUCGACUCGGGGCGAGGUCA
This is a non-coding RNA of Crucibulum laeve, 107 nucleotides long. The record is from the annotation of a GenBank genome assembly. NCBI's taxonomy places the organism in Eukaryota, Fungi, Basidiomycota, Agaricomycetes, Agaricales, Nidulariaceae.